Molecule: RNA transcript, 3635 nt
Organism: Cygnus olor (mute swan)
Lineage: Eukaryota; Metazoa; Chordata; Aves; Anseriformes; Anatidae
Exons: 5
Source: RefSeq, a predicted model, not a curated record
CCGUGUGGCCCUCAGGGCCCAUUUCAGUGCAAAUAAAAGUAAUGGCUGCUGCCAUCACAGCCUCUGGAAUCAUCCAGGGGAGCACCACCUCUGGCUCAUCACCACCAUCACUGAUGAGAUGAUAGCUGAGGAGAAACUAUCAUGGUUUGAUGCCUCCCUCACCAUGACAGAUGAAUACAGAACCUGUCCUGCAGCAUGCUGCACUCACCACAGGGCUGUUUGGGAAAUGCCAGGAAGAGCUUCGAUCCGUGGCUGGCAGCUGAACCCUUGGAGCACAAGACACACAGCACGCAUUGUCAUCCUGAUCGAGGAAGGACAUCACAAUGAGCACUUUAAAGGGCUUUAUGAAGGAAGCUGGAGGCAGUUCUCAUUAGUCUCACUGACAUCUUUUAUCACUUAUCAGAGGAACAAGCAAACGGAGAGCAAUUCCUUUGAUCAUGGCAAAAGUAGAAAGAGUAUUAAAAACCUUAUGAAGAUUCACUAAGUAGAAAGUGGAAAAGACAGUCUGUGGCAUGUUUCAAAGAGCAGGCUUGGAGUGUGAUGCUCCAGUUAGUGCGACAUACUGUUGUAACAACGCUGACCAGAACGAAUUGUGUGGCUGCUGCAAAUGACCUGGAGGUCGCAGGUGAAGUAAUACAUGGCUGGGUUAUCAGAUCCCCGUGUAUAUACACGUUGUUCUAAUGUUUGCUGCUUCUGGCCUGACCAGUUUGAGCGUACACAGCUCUGAAAUCAGAACCGGCCGAUUCCCUGCAGACCUGAUGAGGCAGCAUCUCCUCACUGUGGUAAAUAGAGGUUUUUGUACCUUCUCUAAUGUAUAAGGAAAGUAAUGUCUGAUUCUAAAAUAAGACAGCAUUAGUAAGAAACUAUGCAAUCAACAAUAAUCAUCCAGGUUUGACAAUUUACUGCCUCUUCAGUUCUCUUCUGUUCCAAGAAUAUCUUCAAGAAAUGAAAUGGCUUGUAUAAAUCAAAAUUGCCUCCAUCUUAAUGCAUGUUCCUAAGUUAAACAUUAGUCUUAACGUAUUUGGUCAAGUUUCACAGCUUCUUUGUUCAGUGACCACUGAAAACCUGGUUGAGGAAACAUUAGCGGGGAAGUACUGAAUGAGGAAAUAGAGGUUAAGUUACUUGAGCAAAAUUCAAAUGAAGCCUGGGGAAUCCAGGUCCCUUGGGUCCCUGUUCGCUGCCAUCGCCAUACUAGCUUUCCUUUUUGAGGAUUUUCAAUAUCAUCUCUGAAGUGAUAAACCAGAAGGUCGUAGGCUCUGUAUUGGUAGGAAGGGGACAUGUACAUGUUUUGGGGGAGGUUGAAUUGCUGGGGAAGAUUUUUGUUUUGUUGUAUGAAAUCACAAGCUGAUUUUACAGACGCUAUGCUUGACCCUUUGCUAACAUGCUGUAGGCUCUGCGGAUUCAUACAUGGAGCUGCUUUCCUGGAAGUCUCAGUGCAGAUGAAAUUGCAAUCAGGCCCUUAAGCAAGGUGUGUUCUUCUUGGGUUGCUCUGAAGGUGGACUCUAAGGAAUGAUAAAAAGCUGACUGCGGCUAAGGGGUUGCCCCAGAUGCACUGAAAAGGCUCUGCAUUAAAAAAGUUCAGUAUGGGGAAAUUAUACAACAGGCACAUUGCUCUUUCUUUGCGCCAUUCCUGCAUUUUUUUUGUUCAUUAUCCCUACAAUACAAAGAGGAGAACAACAUCUGUCUUUAGGUGGAUAGGGACAAAGUGACUUGUUCUAGGAGCAUUUUGCUGAUAUAACUUUGCUAAUAUAUUAUAUGGAAAAGCAUGCUCAGAAGGAAUUUGGCUUAUACCAACAAAAUAGUAUUUUUUGGCAAAGUUUAUUUUAGUGCAUUUUAGAUGAUGUAAAAUUUUCUCUUUGCCAAAUUGCACCACCUCAUAUUCUUAAUGUGCACUGCCAUGCCAACAAAAAUUGGUCAGCUUUGGAUCACUUAAUCCUUCAGAGAUGGAAAGUUACAGCAUCACCACAAGUAAAGGUUAAGGAAGAUCUCUCUGAUAUGCUGCUUUCCUGGUACUUGUCUUUGCCAGACAGCAUGUACUUAUGGACCCACUAAUCUUGUAGUCAACUGUAGGACAAGGGUCUGCAGACACAAUUAGCUAUUCACACGCAGCCUCACAGGAACCUGAGGAGAAUCCAAGGCAACUGUGUCUGGGAUGCUGCACACAAUGAGGGGAGGGAACAAAAGGGGGGAAAUUGUUUCCCUAUUGUUCUGGUCUUUCACCACAAACUACUGUAGAGGUGGAGCAGCAUCAUGGCCAUGCUUCCUUUCUGCCUUAACUCCAAGCUGCCUGAGCAUGGUGCAGGCUGCAGGCAUGCUUCUUUUGUCACUGCUUUGUCACUGAUUGAGACGUGAUCCUAGAAGAAAGUGUUACCGUUGGUCCAUUUUGACUGUCCUGCAAUAUGGUAUGUUGUGGGAAGAUUAGUCCUUAAGUCUCUUAAAUACUCUUAAUUCUCUUACUUUUAAUAUAACUAGAAAAAAAUAAAAUUAUAUGUCAGUUAUUAUAAUCCACAUAUUUUGAGUUUAAUGCCUAGCUGGUAAUACCUACUUAAAAUAUUAACUUUCCACCCUAGACCCUUCUAUUAUUCUGUAUUUUUUCCAAGCCGUUCACAUUGUAACAAUGCACAGUAAUGUUUUUCAGGUUGAAUGCAUUUUCAAAUGGCUGAUUCUUUUAUAUGUCUGGGAGGCAACUUAAUACAGCUAUUUCUAAUUCAUAAACAAUGCAGCUGUGGUGCAUGUAGUAUUUGUAGCUGGAGCACAGGCCUAGAAAUACUCAGCGGACUACAUUCUGCAGAAAAUAAUGACCCAUGCUAGCAUGACCUGUUAAUUACAAUGUUUCUAACAAUUAAUUUAUCAGAUUAUUAUCAGUGUAUGGGAAAAGCAUUGAGAAUGACAGAAGCAGGUAAACACAGGCUUUUCCAUUUGUUAGGGAGCUUUCACAAGAGUGUUAGGGCCAAGCUAAGUGUGGUAUUCAUAUAUGUGGAUUGGGUCCAUCAGAGAAUUAGAUAUGAUAUUGUAGAGCCACCAAAAUGAUAGUUGUAUGGUGUACCAGGCUGUAAAACUAAGGCAAAGUCCAAUUUACAUAAACCUCUGAAAGACAACAGAGAAGCAUGUGCUUAGGAUAGAUUGCCAUUAAUCAUGUGUCUCACAGCUUGAUAACCAGAAUUAACUGCUACCAUUAUAUUAGCCAGAUGUUCUCCUCAGCGGCACCCUUCAGUGGUUCCUUUCUGCUAUCUGUACGUGGCAUGUGGUAUGAAUUUUUUACUCAGGUCACAGCUAUUCUUAAAAAUUGCCUCAAACAAGAAUAUGCCUUCAAUGCAAGUCAUAAAACUGUGUCAGCUACAAAAGGGAAAUGAAGCACGUUCUCUCACCUCUGAUGGCAUGACCAUCACUUGUAUUUUUUACUCCUACCAGAGUUGAUUGCAAACCUUCCCCCAGAUCCUCCCCCCAAAGAAGGUGACUUCAGUAUGAACAGGACCAACCUCAGCAUUCUCAGAAAUGGCAAAAUGUUGUUUGACUGGGCUUCAGCUGGAAGAGUAAAAAACAUUUGGUGUCUGAAAAUGUGUCCUUUAGAUAUUUUCCUUCUUGAAAGGAAGUAAUUUCCCCCAGAGCAAGCAAUGCCUCUGAUUCUGCAGAUU